AUGGAAGCCAAAGUCUUCAAGGCGAUGCUUCACUUCAUCUACGCCGACUCCUUGCCAGAGGCUGACGAGGACGAAAUCGUGGGGAUGGCACAACAUCUACUUGUCGCCGCGGAUAGGUAUAACCUCCAGAGGCUAAAGUUGAUGUGUGAAGAGACGUUGUGCAAGUCCAUCAACAAAGACACCGCGGCGACUACAUUGGCCUUGGCUGAACAACAUGGUUCUGAUGGUCUUAAGAAGGCAUGCUUCGAGUUACUCGCUUCUGUUCACCUCAAGGCAGUCAUGGCAAGUGAUGGCUUUGCACAUUUGAAGAGCAGCUGUCCCUCCAUCCUGGAGGUGCUGGUCACCAAUCUAGCUCACUGGCUUCUCUAA
This 369-nucleotide ribosomal RNA is filed under the name Triticum aestivum (bread wheat). RNAcentral describes it as "partial small subunit ribosomal RNA". Lineage: Eukaryota; Viridiplantae; Streptophyta; Magnoliopsida; Poales; Poaceae. The record is from RNAcentral.